UUUAUUUUAGUAUAAGAUGUACAUUAAUUUUUGAAAUUAAUGGUAAUAGUUUAAUUCUAUUAAAUAAUAC
This 70-nucleotide transfer RNA is filed under the name Sinocrepis fulva. RNAcentral describes it as "tRNA-Gln". It matches the Rfam family "tRNA". Rfam says of the family: Transfer RNA (tRNA) molecules are approximately 80 nucleotides in length. Their secondary structure includes four short double-helical elements and three loops (D, anti-codon, and T loops). Lineage: Eukaryota; Metazoa; Arthropoda; Insecta; Coleoptera; Chrysomelidae. The record is from RNAcentral.